Molecule: long non-coding RNA, 1532 nt
Organism: Piliocolobus tephrosceles (Ugandan red Colobus)
Lineage: Eukaryota; Metazoa; Chordata; Mammalia; Primates; Cercopithecidae
Exons: 4
Source: RefSeq, a predicted model, not a curated record
ACAGCCACACGCGGUAAAAGCUGUUUCCACCCGCCAGGGUAGUUCUGGUUGGGGAGCCGGAAUGGAGCUCACACGAGCCUGAGGCCAGGUUUCUACUCCUCCUCCCCCUGAGGACCUUCCGAGCCUGACCCUCUUUGCCAGGUGACUUCAGGGACAGGGAUGUUUUGAGAGAUAAAAAGAGAAAGAAUCCGAAGACUGAGUCCUGGGUGCCCCAACAUUGAGAGACUGGGGAGAGGAGGAACCAGCUGUCCCAGAGGCUGAGGCAAAAUGAGGCUGCAUACGAGACUGCAUACCAUCUGGGCUGUACACCAGUGGGACUGAAAACUGACUACAGAUAAUCCACAACCUGGCUGUAUUCAUCAGGGACCGGUCAGGAAAAUGGCAUUUGCUAAGUGGCUCAACAGAAGGAGUUUAACACGGGGAGCUUGUGAUAAAGGAGCUCCAGCACCACCUCCAGCCUUCAGUGACCAUCUGGAGCAGGCACAGGGAUAGAGGAUAAGGGGGACAACUAUGGAGUGGAAAGUGGAGUGGAGAAAACAGUGGACUUGGAAUCUCACCUGCCAGAUCUGACUGUACUGGAUCUGACUUUGAUUGCGGUGCCGCCAUGGGCAAGUUACUUUAGCUGUGUGCACCUCCAUUUCCCCAUGGGUAGAACAUGGGUUUUGGAUAGAAGUGUCUGAUAGCUGUACUAUCAGUUCAUGAGCAUGUACACAUAGGCCCAUAAUAUCAUAUCUCUGGUCAUUCUGGCAGGUAGAUAUUAUUGCCCCAGGUUUCAGGUAAGAAGACUAAAGACCAGGGGUCAAAUUGCUUGCUCGGAGUCCCACAGCCAGCAGCAGCCGAGCAGGACAGGAAGUCAGAGUCUAGAUUCCAGAUCUUGCCCUCUUCCAAGUGUACCACAUUCUUCUCAAGGUGGCCUCUCAGGUCUUUGUCUGGAAAAUUUUGAGACUUUGAUGAGGAGCCCUUAUCUGCACAUUGGGUAUUAGGCCAGAUAACCCUGUGUGUCCUUCCAGGCCUGGUAUUGUGAGGCUGAAGGCCAGUGCCCCACACUCUCAUCCUCACCCCUUAGAGAAAGAUGGAGUCUCCAGUGCCAGCCUGGUGGGUGCUGAACUUGCCCUGCUGAGUCAAGCCCAGGAGGCAGCCAAGGUCCUACCAGUGACCUUACCCUGGGGGCCCCUCCAGGUAGGGGCCUGGUUGGAAAAGACAGACCGACUUCUUCUUGGAUGGCUGGAAAAAGAUGACAUACUCAAAGCCUUGUCCUUCCACUUGGAUGCACCUGGUGAAGAUGCGACAGUCACCUUUGUCUGGGGAGAGAUGGGCAGUGUCGCAGCCAGAGAAGGGAGGGCAUGGUCCGGAUACAGCACCAUUUGGUUGAGUCUUGCCUCUGGUACAAGAUUAAGGAGAGAGAACCAGAGUACACUGAAGGGGUUGCCUGCCCCUCCACACCUGUGGGUGUUUCUCGUUAGGUAGAACGAGAGACUUGAGAAAAGAAAUGAGACACAGAGACAAAGUAUAGAGAAAGAAAAGUAGGCCCA